GAGUUCUGCCAGUGAAAGUAUGUUUUCCCUCAACAUUAAGGAAUCAUUGACUUGAAACAAACUCCUAUAUCUUACUGAAAAGUUACUUGUAGAUUAGUUAUGAUUUG
This is a long non-coding RNA of Poecilia latipinna (sailfin molly), 107 nucleotides long. RefSeq lists it as uncharacterized. The transcript has 3 exons. The record is from RefSeq and is a predicted model, not a curated record. Lineage: Eukaryota; Metazoa; Chordata; Actinopteri; Cyprinodontiformes; Poeciliidae.